GUGCCACGGACUCAAGCGUGGUUAACCACAAGUUAAGUGAAACACAGACCCAAGCUUGUUUCACUCCAUGUUAUGCAAGUUAAGUGAAACACAGACCCAAGCGUGUUUCACUCCAUGUUAUGCAAGUUUAGGUGAAACACAGACCCAAGCAUGUUUCACUCCACGUUAUGCAAGUUAAGUGAAACACGGACCCAAGCGUGUUUCACUUCACGUUAUGCAAGAUAAGUGAAACACGGACUCAAGUGUGUUUCACUCCAUGUUAAGAUAAGAUAA
This is a long non-coding RNA of Juglans microcarpa x Juglans regia, 273 nucleotides long. RefSeq lists it as uncharacterized. The transcript has 2 exons. The record is from RefSeq and is a predicted model, not a curated record. Lineage: Eukaryota; Viridiplantae; Streptophyta; Magnoliopsida; Fagales; Juglandaceae.